Caenorhabditis elegans is the source of this 93-nucleotide non-coding RNA. Lineage: Eukaryota; Metazoa; Nematoda; Chromadorea; Rhabditida; Rhabditidae. The record is from Ensembl.
CAUUAAACAUACAACGAGACAAACACACACAGUCGCUAGCAAGGAAAAUAGCACUUCAAUGACCAACAUUUUGAAGUCGUAAAUGUUAUCAUU